CCCUUAGAUGUUCUGGGCCGCACGCGCGCUACACUGACGAAUGCAACGAGCUUAUAACCUUGGCCGAAAGGUCUGGGUAAUCUCCAAAUUUCGUCGUGAUGGGGAUAGAUUAUUGCAAUUAUUAAUCUUCAACGAGGAAUGCCUAGUAAGCGCAAGUCAUCAGCUUGCGUUGAUUACGUCCCUGCCCUUUGUACACACCGCCCGUCGCUCCUACCGAUUGAAUGGUCCGGUGAAGCGUUCGGACCGUGGCCUUGGGACGGUUCGCCGUCUGUUGGCUGCGGGAAGUUCGUUAAACCUUAUCAUUUAGAGGAAGGAGAAGUCGUAACA
Molecule: ribosomal RNA, 327 nt
Filed under: uncultured eukaryote
Lineage: Eukaryota
Description: partial 18S ribosomal RNA
Rfam family: Eukaryotic small subunit ribosomal RNA
Source: RNAcentral